UCACACAUUUUUCUCUUUUAAAAUUUUGGUAUUUGGUUUUAAAUAAAAAAAUUAUUGUAUUUCAAAAAUGUCUCACCGUAAAUCUAUACUCAAAUCUGCAUCUGAAACUCAAACUGAAACUGAGGGUCCUAAAAAACGCGUUCAAUUUGAUGUUGAAUGUUACUGCUCCGAUUUGAAUGACGAUGACAUUUGUGAUAAGAACUUAGCUUGUGCCUCUGCUCAGUCCUUUUGCAAUUUGAAGUGUUCGAAGCCUAUUAAUGAGGAGUUCUACCGGAAAAGGCAGGAGACACAAAAGGAUAUGUAUACCCAUGCCAAGCAAGCCUUAGGAAAGCUAAAGCAUCAAAGUGAACAAUCAGUCUAAACUUUAUGCAGUAAGAAAAUUUCGGCCUGGAUUUUAUUUUUCCACCUCAGAUCAACUUAAACUUUACAAGACCGAAACCUUAUUGCACUACAUUAUUGCAAACCUUGUGAAAAAACAUAUUUUCCAACUCAAGCUGACUGAUCUAUUAACUAUUAAGGUUUCCAAAUCCAAAUAUCAACCCAAGUACAAAUGUAAAUCCAAAAAUGUUUACCAAAAUUAAUCGGCAUACGUUUAGGGACGUCAGUGGCACACAAACUCAGAAAGUACUUAAAUUAGACACAGUCAAUGGAGCGCUCAAUAUAUUAAUGUAAUUAUGCAUUCAGUCCAUGCUUAAUUAUGCUGGCUCUCAGAUGAAAAGUAAAAAUUUAUUGUAAAUAUCUUAACAAAAUUAAA
This is a long non-coding RNA of Teleopsis dalmanni, 754 nucleotides long. RefSeq lists it as uncharacterized. The record is from RefSeq and is a predicted model, not a curated record. Lineage: Eukaryota; Metazoa; Arthropoda; Insecta; Diptera; Diopsidae. The transcript has 4 exons.